RNAcentral lists this ribosomal RNA (491 nucleotides) under uncultured bacterium. RNAcentral describes it as "partial 16S ribosomal RNA". It matches the Rfam family "Bacterial small subunit ribosomal RNA", at positions 29 to 507 of the family's 1533-position model. The record is from RNAcentral.
AGUGAACGCUGGCGGUAGGCCUAACACAUGCCAGUCGAACGGCAGCACAGUAAGAGCUUGCUCUUACGGGUGGCGAGUGGCGGACGGGUGAGGAAUACAUCGGAAUCUACUUUUUCGUGGGGGAUAACGUAGGGAAACUUACGCUAAUACCGCAUACGACCUACGGGUGAAAGCAGGGGAUCUUCGGACCUUGCGCGAUUGAAUGAGCCGAUGUCGGAUUAGCUAGUUGGCGGGUAAAGGCCCACCAAGGCGACGAUCCGUAGCUGGUCUGAGAGGAUGAUCAGCCACACUGGAACUGAGACACGGUCCAGACUCCUACGGGAGGCAGCAGUGGGGAAUAUUGGACAAUGGGCGCAAGCCUGAUCCAGCCAUACCGCGUGGGUGAAGAAGGCCUUCGGGUUGUAAAGCCCUUUUGUUGGGAAAGAAAAGCAGCAGGUUAAUACCCCGCUGUUCUGACGGUACCCAAAGAAUAAGCACCGGCUAACUUCGUG